GGACUACAAGGGUUUCUAAUCCCGUUUGCUCCCCUAGCUUUCGAGCCUCAGCGUCAGAAAAGAUCCAGCACGCCGCUUUCGCCACCGGAGUUCCUGUAGAUAUCAACGCAUUUCACCGCUCCACCUACAGUUCCGCAUGCCCCUAUCUUCCUCGAGGCCGUCAGUAUCUGAGGCAGUUCCACGGUUGAGCCGCGGCAUUUCACCCCAGACUUGAUAGCCCGCCUACGCUCCCUUUAAGCCCAGUGAUUCCGAACAACGUUCGCACGGUUCGUCUUACCGCGGCUGCUGGCAC
Molecule: ribosomal RNA, 292 nt
Filed under: uncultured bacterium
Lineage: Bacteria
Also listed under: 2 other names
Description: partial 16S ribosomal RNA
Source: RNAcentral